GUGAAUCAUCGAAUCUUUGAACGCACAUUGCGCCCCCUGGCAUUCCGGGGGGCAUGCCUGUCCGAGCGUCAUUUCUGCCCUCAAGCACGGCUUGUGUGUUGGGUGCGGUCCCCCCGGGGACCUGCCCGAAAGGCAGCGGCGACGUCCGUCUGGUCCUCGAGCGUAUGGGGCUCUGUCACUCGCUCGGGACGGACCUGCGGGGGUUGGUCACCACCAUAUUUUACCACGGUUGACCUCGGAUCAGGUAGGAGUUACCCGCUGAACUUAAGCAUAUCAAUAAGCGGAGGA
Molecule: unclassified non-coding RNA, 288 nt
Filed under: Talaromyces sp.
Lineage: Eukaryota; Fungi; Ascomycota; Eurotiomycetes; Eurotiales; Trichocomaceae
Description: partial contains 5.8S ribosomal RNA, internal transcribed spacer 2, and large subunit ribosomal RNA
Rfam family: 5.8S ribosomal RNA (bases 1-71)
Source: RNAcentral